AGAAGUGCGAAUGCUGACAUAAGUAACGAUAAUGCGGGUGAAAAACCCGCACGCCGGAAGACCAAGGGUUCCUGUCCAACGUUAAUCGGGGCAGGGUGAGUCGACCCCUAAGGCGAGGCCGAAAGGCGUAGUCGAUGGGAAACAGGUUAAUAUUCCUGUACUUGGUGUUACUGCGAAGGGGGGACGGAGAAGGCUAUGUUAGCCGGGCGACGGUUGUCCCGGUUUAAGCAUGUAGGCGGAGGUUCCAGGUAAAUCCGGUACCUUUUUAACGCUGAGGUGUGAUGACGAGGCACUACGGUGCUGAAGUAACAAAUGCCCUGCUUCCAGGAAAAGCCUCUAAGCAUCAGGUAACACGAAAUCGUACCCCAAACCGACACAGGUGGUCAGGUAGAGAAUACCAAGGCGCUUGAGAGAACUCGGGUGAAGGAACUAGGCAAAAUGGUGCCGUAACUUCGGGAGAAGGCACGCUGAUAUGUAGGUGAAGUGAUUUACUCAUGGAGCUGAAAUCAGUCGAAGAUACCAGCUGGCUGCAACUGUUUAUUAAAAACACAGCACUGUGCAAACACGAAAGUGGACGUAUACGGUGUGACGCCUGCCCGGUGCCGGAAGGUUAAUUGAUGGGGUUAUCCGUAAGGAGAAGCUCUUGAUCGAAGCCCCGGUAAACGGCGGCCGUAACUAUAACGGUCCUAAGGUAGCGAAAUUCCUUGUCGGGUAAGUUCCGACCUGCACGAAUGGCGUAAUGAUGGCCAGGCUGUCUCCACCCGAGACUCAGUGAAAUUGAACUCGCUGUGAAGAUGCAGUGUACCCGCGGCAAGACGGAAAGACCCCGUGAACCUUUACUAUAGCUUGACACUGAACACUGGUCCUUGAUGUGUAGGAUAGGUGGGAGGCUUUGAAGUGUGGACGCCAGUCUGCAUGGAGCCAUCCUUGAAAUACCACCCUUUAAUGGCUGGUGUUCUAACGUGGACCCGUAAUCCGGGUUGCGGACAGUGUCUGGUGGGUAGUUUGACUGGGGCGGUCUCCUCCUAAAGAGUAACGGAGGAGCACGAAGGUUAGCUAAUCCUGGUCGGACAUCAGGAGGUUAGUGCAAAGGCAUAAGCUAGCUUGACUGCGAGAGUGACGGCUCGAGCAGGUGCGAAAGCAGGUCUUAGUGAUCCGGUGGUUCUGAAUGGAAGGGCCAUCGCUCAACGGAUAAAAGGUACUCCGGGGAUAACAGGCUGAUACCGCCCAAGAGUUCAUAUCGACGGCGGUGUUUGGCACCUCGAUGUCGGCUCAUCACAUCCUGGGGCUGAAGUAGGUCCCAAGGGUAUGGCUGUUCGCCAUUUAAAGUGGUACGCGAGCUGGGUUUAGAACGUCGUGAGACAGUUCGGUCCCUAUCUGCCGUGGGCGCUGGAGAAUUGAGGGGGGCUGCUCCUAGUACGAGAGGACCGGAGUGGACGCAUCACUGGUGUUCGGGUUGUCAUGCCAAUGGCAUUGCCCGGUAGCUAAAUGCGGAAGAGAUAAGUGCUGAAAGCAUCUAAGCACGAAACUUGCCCCGAGA
RNAcentral lists this ribosomal RNA (1540 nucleotides) under Citrobacter freundii. RNAcentral's name for it is "partial 23S ribosomal RNA". It matches the Rfam family "Bacterial large subunit ribosomal RNA", at positions 1284 to 2804 of the family's 2925-position model. Lineage: Bacteria; Pseudomonadati; Pseudomonadota; Gammaproteobacteria; Enterobacterales; Enterobacteriaceae. The record is from RNAcentral.